Non-coding RNA from Ictidomys tridecemlineatus (thirteen-lined ground squirrel), 2077 nucleotides. Lineage: Eukaryota; Metazoa; Chordata; Mammalia; Rodentia; Sciuridae. The record is from RefSeq and is a predicted model, not a curated record.
GGCUCCCCUAGUGCUUGAGUGGGCUUGGCCCAGGAAAGAGGAGGGAGACCCUGUUUCUUGUCAUCGACAGGGACUUCAUGCCACACUCAGGCUCCAGUCUCAGGGAGGUUGUGCCCAACUGGGGCUUCCACUGCUUCCUUUGAUCUGCGGCUGCCCCAUGGAGGGUCAGAUACUGACCAUGAGGAAAUACAUGUCCACAAUUGGUCUGCAGAGACAUGAGGUGGAAACAGACCCUCACAUGUCUCCUGAAGAUGAACGGUGCAACUCCUCGCACAGGAAGGCAGGCACACCCUCUUGGAUAUGUAAAGUUGCUUACAAUGCCCCACCCCUCCCAUAUCCUCCCCAGAGACGCCCCAUGGUCUUUGCCACCCAGCUGGUCAGGGCAGAGCUGGGGCCAGCAGGCUUCACUGUGUACAACCAGCCAGCUGACUUCACAAGGUCCCUGCAGGGCUGCCAGGCAGGCCAGAAAGAGCCAAGGAAGGAAGACGGCUACAGAAGCUGGGAGGGGCCGCCACUUGUUUCUCAAACUCCUGCAGACCUGAGGGCUGUGCCCAGGCAGCCUAGAGAGACUGUGGUUUACUAAGGAGAUUAAAGAGAAGCCAUGCUGCCUUCAUUACCAUAGAACCAGGUGGAAGGAGCUUUCUUGGUCCAGAAGAAUGAAAGUCACUACUGAUCCCAGGGCUGGGGCCUAGCACAGGAUAGGUCCUAGUUUCAUGAACUGAAAUUGCCAGACCCUAUUUGCAGUGGUGACUCCGAUUUACUCUCCCACGCCCAGCUUCAUUCUUUUCUCAUUUUUAUUGCCACCUCAGACCCCAGUUCACAUCAAACACAUCAGCAGUCUACCAGAUGCUUCAACUGGAACAUCAUCGUGGCUGCCAGCCACUUGCCUCUACCCUGCUCCUGGGCCCCGAGCACGAGCCCACCCAGUCAGGAACUUGCUGCCCUUGCUAAUGCCAAAAAAAAGCCACUCCAUUCUUCAAAUGGGGGGCAUAAAACCGCAGCCUGCCUUUUUAAUAUUACUGGAAGUCAACAUCUGUAGCACACCUGAUGGGUGCACAGUUGGAUUGGGGGCUUCUCCUCUGAUGUCCAAAUGAGGACUUAUACAUACCCAGGUGGGAGGAGUGUCAGGCAGCCUGGGGCACAUCCUCUCUCUCUCCACAAACACUGGGCAUUCCAUGCCAGGCCUGAUGCCACACCCUCCUGGGACACCUCCGAGAAUUCUCCCUUCUCCCUCCAUGGGGAGCGACCCAACUCUCACAGGUGGGGAGCCCAAGGCCCAGGAGGCUUCUCUUUCCUCACUGUUAGCAGCUUAAUGUUAAAAUGAAGACAACCUCGACCCCCCAACAACUCCAACCUGCUGUCCCCGUUUCCACUUGAUGCCUGUGAAAGGUCAAGGCAAAGAAGGGCAGUAGGAAAACUAGGCUUUCUGCCCAGCAGCCCUGUCCAGACAGCCUGCCAUCUGUCCACAUGGGAUGCCACCCAGCCCUGGCAAGAAGUAGGACCUGUUUGCAACAGAGGGACCUCCCUGGGCCCGCAUCCCUCCAGGUCCUCCCCAGCCUGGGAAGAGGAGGUAGAAGGGAUGGUGGUCUGCAGGCCCUUGGCUCAGCUCUGAUGGACACUUGGUUCUGUUGUUGCUCUUGGUCCCCGCCUUCGUGACUCCCAUGGGAUCCAGGGACUGCAGAAGCUGGUUUGCCAUCUCAAAAGACUGAUGUGACUUCCCUUCAAGGCACAGGCAUCUGGGAAGCACUACGUAGACACUGUGCCAGAACCCCAGCGGUAGGGGCAACAGUGCACACAGCCACUCGGGGAACCACGGCAAGCCACCAGGAAGGCACUGCUCCACCUUGGGCACACCUCCUCUGGGCAGCCCAGCAUACCCGUGAGGAAGGCGGUGCAGCCUGCUCCAGCAUGGCCUUGGGGGACUCCUGGGAGGGUGUCUCUGCCCCUGGUGCCCCACAAGGCACUGCUGAUGUUUGAUGAGGCCACUACUAGCUGCUUCACAGGCAGACACAGAAGCUGGGACCUACAUGAAAGAACCUUUGAGAUGAUAAAUAAAGACCACACACUCUUUUUAAAA